RNAcentral lists this ribosomal RNA (253 nucleotides) under uncultured bacterium. Its description in RNAcentral is "partial 16S ribosomal RNA". It matches the Rfam family "Bacterial small subunit ribosomal RNA", at positions 524 to 776 of the family's 1533-position model. The record is from RNAcentral.
UACGUAGGGUGCGAGCGUUAAUCGGAAUUACUGGGCGUAAAGCGUGCGCAGGCGGUUUUGUAAGCCAGAUGUGAAAUCCCCGGGCUUAACCUGGGAAUGGCAUUUGGGACUGCAAGGCUGGAGUGUGGCAGAGGAGACUGGAAUUCCCGGUGUAGCAGUGAAAUGCGUAGAUAUCAGGAGGAAUACCGAUGGCGAAGGCAGGUCUCUGGGCUAUAACUGACGCUCAUGCACGAAAGCGUGGGGAGCAAACAGG